This 63-nucleotide transfer RNA is filed under the name Stegobium paniceum (drugstore beetle). RNAcentral describes it as "tRNA-Arg". The record is from RNAcentral. Lineage: Eukaryota; Metazoa; Arthropoda; Insecta; Coleoptera; Ptinidae.
UAACAUGAAGUAAAAAAUUUACAAUUAGUUUCGACCUAAUACUCUGGUAUAAACCCUUGUUUU